UUGAGGAGGUGGUGACCGUGGCGGUGUAGGUGGAAGCGGCGGUGGAGGAGGAGGAUGAGGUAGAAAAAACAGUUUUUAAUAUAUCUAUAUAUUUCUUAAUUGGCAUAGCCCCCAAAAUAUUGGGACAUAUAAAAAAAGACAACUCUGUUCCGCAGAGUAGCUGUUGACAUUAUAGUUGCGCAGGCACUUUGUUGAUCCCUGUGACAGCAACUUUGCAUUCGGAUGUCAUCCAUAUCAACUUUCGAUGCCAGUUUCUGCACCUACCAUGGUGACCACGGGUAACAUGGAAUAAGGGUACCAUUCUGCAUUACAUACAGGGACCCUGAGAAACGGCUACCACAUGCAAGUAAGGCAGCAGACGCGUAAAUGACCCACUCCCGACGCGGGAAGGUAGUGACGACAGAUAAUACAGAACUCUUUAGAGGCCCUGUAAUUGUAAUGAGUCCACUUGAAAUCCUUUAACUCUGAUCAAUUGGAGUGAAGUCUGGUGCAGAGCCACUGACCCGUGCGUGCUGCAGCUGAAACUCCACUAUCGCCUGCUGCUGCUCCCA
Molecule: non-coding RNA, 551 nt
Organism: Pelobates cultripes (western spadefoot toad)
Lineage: Eukaryota; Metazoa; Chordata; Amphibia; Anura; Pelobatidae
Source: the annotation of a GenBank genome assembly